This 382-nucleotide ribosomal RNA is filed under the name uncultured eukaryote. Its description in RNAcentral is "partial 18S ribosomal RNA". It matches the Rfam family "Eukaryotic small subunit ribosomal RNA", at positions 592 to 976 of the family's 1831-position model. The record is from RNAcentral.
UGUAAGCGUAUACCAAAGUUGUUGCAGUUAAAACGCUCGUAGUCGGAAUUUGGCAGUUCCGGAUGUGUGCACGUCGUGUGCGCACUUCGCGGGGAUUGCUUUUGUGGUCUUGCGUAGGAUGAGGCACUUUUAUUAGUGAACGUCCUCACGCAACCACUUUUUACUGUGAGAAAAUCAGAGUGCUCAAAGCAGGCAUUUGCCGUGAAUGUAUUAGCAUGGAAUAAUAGAAUAGGACUUGGUCCUAUUUUGUUGGUUUGUUGGGACUGAGUAAUGAUUAAGAGGGACAGUUGGGGGCAUUUGUAUUUCGGUGCUAGAGGUGAAAUUCUUAGAUUACCGAAAGACAAACUGCUGCGAAAGCGUCUGCCAAGGAUGUUUUCAUUGA